ACACAUGCAAGUCGAGGGGCAGCAUGGUCUUAGCUUGCUAAGGCCGAUGGCGACCGGCGCACGGGUGAGUAACACGUAUCCAACCUGCCGUCUACUCUUGGACAGCCUUCUGAAAGGAAGAUUAAUACAAGAUGGCAUCAUGAGUCCGCAUGUUCACAUGAUUAAAGGUAUUCCGGUAGACGAUGGGGAUGCGUUCCAUUAGAUAGUAGGCGGGGUAACGGCCCACCUAGUCUUCGAUGGAUAGGGGUUCUGAGAGGAAGGUCCCCCACAUUGGAACUGAGACACGGUCCAAACUCCUACGGGAGGCAGCAGUGAGGAAUAUUGGUCAAUGGGCGAGAGCCUGAACCAGCCAAGUAGCGUGAAGGAUGACUGCCCUAUGGGUUGUAAACUUCUUUUAUAAAGGAAUAAAGUUGGGUAUGGAUACCCGUUUGCAUGUACUUUAUGAAUAAGGAUCGGCUAACUCCGUGCCAGCAGCCGCGGUAAUACGGAGGAUCCGAGCGUUAUCCGGAUUUAUUGGGUUUAAAGGGAGCGUAGAUGGAUGUUUAAGUCAGUUGUGAAAGUUUGCGGCUCAACCGUAAAAUUGCAGUUGAUACUGGAUAUCUUGAGUGCAGUUGAGGCAGGCGGAAUUCGUGGUGUAGCGGUGAAAUGCUUAGAUAUCACGAAGAACUCCGAUUGCGAAGGCAGCCUGCUAAGCUGCAACUGACAUUGAGGCUCGAAAGUGUGGGUAUCAAACAGGAUUAGAUACCCUGGUAGUCCACACGGUAAACGAUGAAUACUCGCUGUUUGCGAUGUACUGCAAGCGGC
This 804-nucleotide ribosomal RNA is filed under the name uncultured bacterium. RNAcentral describes it as "bacterial SSU rRNA". It matches the Rfam family "Bacterial small subunit ribosomal RNA", at positions 51 to 847 of the family's 1533-position model. The record is from RNAcentral.